GACGAACGCUGGCGGCGUGCUUAACACAUGCAAGUCGAGCGGGAAACUUCGGUUUCCAGCGGCGGACGGGUGAGUAGCACGUGGGCAACCUGCCUCACAAUGAGGGAUAGCCUUCCGAAAGGAAGAUUAAUACCUCAUAACACAAGAGAAACGCAUGUUUCUUUUGCCAAAGAAUUUCGUUGUGAGAUGGGCCCGCGGCGCAUUAGCUUGUUGGUGAGGUAACGGCUCACCAAGGCUUCGAUGCGUAGCCGACCUGAGAGGGUGAUCGGCCACAUUGGAACAGAGACACGGUCCAGACUCCUACGGGAGGCAGCAGUGGGGAAUAUUGCACAAUGGAGGAAACUCUGGUGCAGCAACGCCGCGUGAGUGAUGAAGGUCUUCGGAUUGUAAAGCUCUGUCUUCUGGGACGAAAAUGACGGUACCAGAGGAGGAAGCCAUGGCUAACUACGUGCCAGCAGCCGCCGUAA
RNAcentral lists this ribosomal RNA (467 nucleotides) under uncultured bacterium. Its description in RNAcentral is "partial 16S ribosomal RNA". It matches the Rfam family "Bacterial small subunit ribosomal RNA", at positions 28 to 523 of the family's 1533-position model. The record is from RNAcentral.